AAUCGUUUGGUCGGACCACCAACCGAGGAAAGUGUUUCGUGUUCGGAUGGUCGAAUGUCGGUCGCGUGUCGUUGACACUAAUGUUGCAACCCGUUGUUCCCGCGUUCUUCCCAAGCUUUUCCUGGCGUUCGUGAAUCGCGCGAGAUUUUUCGCGGCGUUCGUAACCGCUAAAUCGCAUGUUCACACGCGGCCCACGUGCAAAUCUCGUGCAUCGAGAAAUCCGAGUUUCGAAACGGGCGCGUCUCAUCUGCGGCUCUUCAGCAUGUACGUCUACAAUGUGAACAUUGGAUAAUUGCAACACUCGACACUCAAGGUUGCAAUUAUGGAGAGGUUUAAUGUUGAAGCUCGACUGAAAGGCAGACAAUCCAUCGUCGCGACGGGCGUGAUAUACACGGAAAUCGCAGCGCUCCGGCGACGGUUAUUUCGAGCCCGCGGACGCUAUUCCCGUUGGUCCGCGUCACGACUCCGGCUUCCGCGGAACGGCGAAUCGGCGAACGUUCACGUGGCAAAUCAUUUUCGACCGACGCCGAGGUCGCCUCGCGGAUAUCCGUCCCGGGAAAUAAACAAAUACACCGUUCCACGGAACACGGAGGCGUAAAUCGAACGGGAUAUAGGUCAUGGAUCCGAUCAGGAAUUCGAGAAAUCUCUACCAAGAUGGCGUCCUCUUCGUCACGUUGGAAUAUGCAUCCGUUCCGACGAAUUAGCGGGAAACCGUUUCGGAUGUUAAGAAAUAUUCGAGCUCACUGGCGAGGUCACUCAUCGUCCACGACCAUGAAGUGAGUGUAAUAAUUAAAACAUUUUGGAAAAGAUGAAGAUGACGAAUCUCGAUCGUUCGCUACCCCUGAGUUAGUCACUCGAGCGAACAAUGGACUAUGACGCAUCGUAAAGGUUGGGAUGUAAGACAAAUGUUGGUUAACCUUACAAGAAUGUUAUAGUUAUUUAUGACAUAGUAAAGGGAGCCAUAAAGACAACGAAGAGGAUGAAACUCAUAAUAAAUGUAAAUAUUAUAAUGACAUUAAAGGUGUUUGAAUCAUACUGUGGUACAAGAAUUUUCAUUGGUUUCGACAGGUUAACGUGGCAUUAUCAUAUUUAAUGAUU
This is a long non-coding RNA of Nomia melanderi (Alkali bee), 1098 nucleotides long. RefSeq lists it as uncharacterized. The record is from RefSeq and is a predicted model, not a curated record. NCBI's taxonomy places the organism in Eukaryota, Metazoa, Arthropoda, Insecta, Hymenoptera, Halictidae.